GACGUAGGGGGCCAGCGUUGUUCGGAGUUACUGGGCGUAAAGGGCGUGUAGGUGGUUUCGUAAGUCUGGCGUGAAAUUUUUCGGCUUAACCGGGAAAGGUCGUCGGAUACUGCGGAGCUAAAGGACGGUAGAGGCGUGUGGAAUUCCGGGUGUAGUGGUGAAAUGCGUAGAGAUCCGGAGGAACACCAGUGGCGAAGGCGACACGCUGGGCCGUACCUGACACUGAUGCGCGACAGCAUGGGGAGCAAACAGG
Molecule: ribosomal RNA, 253 nt
Filed under: uncultured bacterium
Lineage: Bacteria
Description: partial 16S ribosomal RNA
Rfam family: Bacterial small subunit ribosomal RNA
Source: RNAcentral